This 1431-nucleotide long non-coding RNA is filed under the name Equus caballus (horse). Its description in RNAcentral is "lncRNA (ENSECAG00000059522.1)". The record is from RNAcentral. Lineage: Eukaryota; Metazoa; Chordata; Mammalia; Perissodactyla; Equidae.
CAAGACAAAUGCUUCAGAUCUAAAGAAACUCACAAACUGAAAGUGAAGGGAUGGAAAAGAUGCUCCAUGUAAAUGGCAAUUUAAAAAAAAAAAAAAGCUGGAGCAGCAAUACUACUAUCAAACAAAAUAGACUUUAAAACAAAAACUGUAACAAGAGACAAAGAAGAACACCACAUAAGGAUAAAGGAAACAAUCCAACAAGAGGAUAUAACAUUUGUAAAUAUCUAUGCACUGAACACAGGACAACCUAAGAAUAUACAAAGCAAUUAUUAAGACACAAAAGGACAAAUAGACAGCAACAAAAUAAUAGUAGAGGACUUUAACACACCACUUACACCAAUGAAUAGAUUAUCCAAACAGAAAGUCAAUAAGGAAACGUUGGCCUUAAAUUACACAUUAGACCAGAUGGACUUAGUAGAUAAAUACAGAACAUUCCAUCCAAAAAUAACAGAAAUAUAUAUUCGUUUCAAAUUCACGUGGAACAUUCUCCAGGAUAGAUCACAUAUCAAGCCACAAAAGAAGUCUCAAUAAAUUUAAGAAGAUUGAAAUAAUACCAAGCAUCUUUUCUGAUCAUAAUGGUAUGAGUCCAGAAACCAACAACAGGAAGAAAAUUGGAAAAGCCACAAAUAUGUAGAGUUUAAACAAAAUGCUACUGAAAAAAUUAGGUCAAUGAAGAAAUCAAAAAAUACCUGGAGACAAAUGAAAACAUCAAAAUUUUGGGGAUAUGGCAAAUCUAAGAAGGAAGUUUAUAGCAAUACAGGCCUGCCUCAACAAAUAAGAAUAAUCUCAAACAAAUGAUCUAACACUACACCUAAAAGAACUGGGAAAAGAAGAACAAGCAAAGCCCAAAAUAAGUAGAAGGAAGGAAAUGAUAAAAAUCGGAGCAUAUAGAUGAAAUAGAAACUAAAAUAUAUAUACUUAUAUAUAUAUAUAUAUAUAUAAAAUGACUGAAGUUGAGUUGGUUCUUUCAAAAUAUAGAUAAAUUGACAAAACUUUAGCGAGACUCACCAAGAAAAAAAGAGAGACGUUUCAAAUAAAUAAAAUCAGAAAUGAAACAGGAGAAAUUACAACAGACAUCUCAGAAAUACAAAAGAUUAUAAGAGAAUAUUACAAAAAGCUUUUAGCCAACAAACGGAUAAUCUAGAAGAAAUGGAUAAAUUCUUAGAAUAAUACAACCUUCCAAAAUUGAAUCAAUAAGAAAUAGAGAAUUUGAAUACAUCAAUCACUAUUAAGGAGAUCGAAACAGUAACCAAAGACCUCCCAAAAAAUAAAAGUCCAGGACCAGAUGGCUUCCCCAGGAAAUGCUACCAAACAUUCAAAGCAAACUGAAUACCUAUCCUUCUUAAACUCUUCCAAAAAAUUGAAGAGGAGGGGAAGCUUCCUAACUCAUUCUAUGAAGCCAACAUUACCCUGAUACCAAAACCAGACAAG